Molecule: long non-coding RNA, 1881 nt
Organism: Ctenopharyngodon idella (grass carp)
Lineage: Eukaryota; Metazoa; Chordata; Actinopteri; Cypriniformes; Xenocyprididae
Exons: 2
Source: RefSeq, a predicted model, not a curated record
UCAAUGCAUACCCUCUAUAGUGAACGCUGCGUAGAUGUCUCACUGUUCGCUACAUUUUUUCAUUUGUUAUUUUUGCAGUUUCUGAUCCUCCAUACGACGUCUGUAUUUGAAUUAGGUGAGCGGAAUUCCCGGUAAGCGGGUGUUUUAUUGGUAGCCGAUAAAAGUUAACCAGGCUCCCCAUAUAAUAGGCGUUUGUGCUGUUAGUUUCGCUUUUUAAUCGUUGUAAAAUGUCUUUGAGAAGUUCUGGGACGACGUGUGCAGUUCGUGGCUGUCACAAUAAUCGGACGAAACUAAACAUGUGGUUAAAACAAGAGUGUUAUGAUCACAAACCGCUUACAAAAUCACAGUGCUCCUGUCCCCAAUGGUUUUCCUUCUAUCGACUGCCUACUGCCGAAGAGGACAGAAGGAUUUGGCUUCGGAACCUCUAUUUGAAAAAGCCUCCGAAGAAUCUUUUCGUGUGCUCUUUUCACUUUGUUGACAAGAAGCCGACUGCAGAGAAUCCUUAUCCAACCCUAUGGCUCGGCUACUACAGACCUCCGGAGAAGAAGCGCCGUAAACUACAAAGGAAGGAUACAAACACGGUGUCGACAGAUGAAUGCGGUGACACAAGUAGCGAGGCUCUUGCAUACUGUGAUGCUCAAACUCGGGAUGGAUCCAACACUGGAAGACCGUCAUAAUGUGCUUUGCUGAAAUCUAACAUCAAUACAAGAAAGUGUUUGGUUUCAAACAGUAUGUCUGUGUCUAUUUCAGUGCUUCCAGAAGAGCUAUUGAAUUUUAGAUUCUUUUUUUUCUUUUUUUUUCUUAAAUGGGAUGUUAAUGACGUUCUUUACAACUGAAGCUUAAUUCAGUCAUAACAGAUCUCUCACACCGUUUUGGAAUUUCUCAGUAUUGUUGGUGUGUAGAUUGACAUAAUGGCUGUUUUCCAAAACACGGUUUGGAAAAUGGAUUCAUGAUGUAUUCGCUCAUUAUUUAAUUUUUGUACAUUUUGAAUUCAAAAAAGUUACGGACUGCAGCUUUACAGUCUGCAUGAAACUGAAGUUGCGAUAGUCUUUUCUUCCAUAUUGUGACGCAUAUUUGAGUGAAACGGCUUGUCGAACAAGAAAACAAUGUAGGGCAGGACAUGACUUUGUCCAUGGGGAAUUAAUUGGAUGCUGGAUGGUUGUGGUUUGCUAUUGGACGAUCUCAUGUGAGUGACAGGUUGUCCCGCCCUCGUGCCAGUAAACACGUCAUCAGAGAAGUGAAGAGAUGUCACUGCAAGAAGGAGGGGAAUUUAUAUGCUGCAAUAUUCCAUAAAAAAACAAGAAUUGUCAAUUUUGAUUUCAUGGUGACUUUAACCAAAGAAUCUGGAUGCAAAAAGUGAGAUUGUAACACACCAAAGGGACACUGUUAAGAAAUUACAAUCACAAACACUUUUAUUGGGCCAGAUUUACUAACGGCUUGUGCCAGUUCAAACCCUCUUUUGGUGUUAAAAACUACUGUUAGAAUUUACUAAAGACAUGCAGUGAAAAAUUAGUGCUGAAAAGGCGUGGACACAGUUAUUGUUUAGGCUGACCUUAUUGCAUAUGCAUUUGUAGGAGUUUCUCUUUUAGAUGCAAAAUUUAUGGGAGGAGAGUAUUUAAAUGAAUCACGCAAGGUGAUUUACUAAGGUUUGCUCUAGUCAAUUUACUGGUAUUUGCGUCAUUAUUUACCACCCCCCAAAAAGCAUGUCUUAAACCAGACGCUAAUUUGCGUUGCUCUUGCUAUUUAAUCAUAGAAAUAUUGCAGAAUGAGGUAUCAUGUUUCCAUAUUAAAAUAAAGGUUUUAAAAUACAAAUGUUGCCCUAUUCAAAAAGAUUUGUUUAAUAAAAAUGUUGCUAUAUUCAAAUAAAGGUUUUAAAAUGUA